This 228-nucleotide ribosomal RNA is filed under the name uncultured bacterium. RNAcentral's name for it is "partial 16S ribosomal RNA". It matches the Rfam family "Bacterial small subunit ribosomal RNA", at positions 568 to 795 of the family's 1533-position model. The record is from RNAcentral.
UCCGUAGGUGGAUAAUUAAGUCAGAGGUGAAAGUCUGCAGCUCAACUGUAGAAUUGCCUUUGAUACUGGUUAUCUUGAGUUAUUAUGAAGUAGUUAGAAUAUGUAGUGUAGCGGUGAAAUGCAUAGAUAUUACAUAGAAUACCAAUUGCGAAGGCAGAUUACUAAUAAUAUACUGACACUGAUGGACGAAAGCGUGGGGAGCGAACAGGAUUAGAUACCCUGGUAGUC